This 443-nucleotide ribosomal RNA is filed under the name uncultured bacterium. RNAcentral describes it as "partial 16S ribosomal RNA". It matches the Rfam family "Bacterial small subunit ribosomal RNA", at positions 338 to 795 of the family's 1533-position model. The record is from RNAcentral.
CCUACGGGUGGCAGCAGUGGGGAAUAUUGGGCAAUGGAGGAAACUCUGACCCAGCAACGCCGCGUGAAUGAUGAAGGCCUUCGGAUUGUAAAGUUCUUUUCUCAGGGACGAAGAAAGUGACGGUACCUUAGGAAUAAGCCUCGGCUAACUACGUGCCAGCAGCCGCGGUAAUACGUAGGAGGCAAGCGUUAUCCGGAAUGACUGGGCGUAAAGGGUGCGUAGGCGGUAGGGCAAGUCAGUAGCGUAACUCAUGGGCUCAACCUAGGGACUACUACUAAAACUGUAGGACUUGAGUGCAGGAGGGGCAAUCGGAAUUCCGAGUGUAGCGGUGGAAUGCGUAGAUAUAAGGAGGAACACCAGUGGCGAAGGCGGAUUGCUGGACAGUAACUGACGCUGAGGCGCGAAAGCGUGGGGAGCAAACAGGAUUAGAUACCCGUGUAGUC